Molecule: ribosomal RNA, 737 nt
Filed under: uncultured Campylobacterota bacterium
Lineage: Bacteria; Pseudomonadati; Campylobacterota
Description: bacterial SSU rRNA
Rfam family: Bacterial small subunit ribosomal RNA
Source: RNAcentral
GUGGGGAGCAAACAGGAUUAGAUACCCUGGUAGUCCACGCCCUAAACGAUGAAUGUUAGUCGUCGGGUAGCUAGUCNAUUCGGUGAUGCAGCUAACGCAUUAAACAUUCCGCCUGGGGAGUACGGUCGCAAGAUUAAAACUCAAAGGAAUAGACGGGGACCCGCACAAGUGGUGGAGCAUGUGGUUUAAUUCGAAGAUACGCGAAGAACCUUACCUAGCCUGGACAUAUUUUAGAACACUUUAGAGAUAGAGUGGUGCCUUCGGGAGCUAAUAUACAGGUGCUGCACGGCUGUCGUCAGCUCGUGUCGUGAGAUGUUGGGUUAAGUCCCGCAACGAGCGCAACCCUCGUCACUAGUUACUAACGGUUCGGCCGAGGACUCUAGUGAGACUGCCUUCGUAAGGAGGAGGAAGGUGAGGACGACGUCAAGUCAUCAUGGCCCUUACGGCUAGGGCAACACACGUGCUACAAUGGCCAGGACAAUGAGAAGCGAUACCGCGAGGUGGAGCAAAUCUAUAAACCUGGUCUCAGUUCGGAUUGUAGUCUGCAACUCGACUACAUGAAGCUGGAAUCACUAGUAAUCGUAGAUCAGCUAUGCUACGGUGAAUACGUUCCCGGGUCUUGUACUCACCGCCCGUCACACCAUGGGAGUUGAUUUCACCCGAAGCGGGGAAGCUAAACUGGCUACCCUCCACGGUGGAAUCAGCGACUGGGGUGAAGUCGUAACAAGGUAACCGUA